CUCAUGUAAAGGUACAAGAUCCCAAUGAUGAAUGUGACUGUAUUUUAUACCUAAAAUGUACCAAUAAACUUAAUGGGGGGGGCCCUGGGGUGGAGAUUUGCAAGGAUCGAGACCUGGGGUUAUGGCAAUGACCUAAAUCAAAUGUAAUAAGGAUCAAAGCCAAGGUCAUCGCCACCAAAACAGCAAGGAGACCAUGAAAGUGGGAGGGGUUAAGGAUAUAAAAGUUUGGGGACGUGAUAAGCAGUGGGUGUUGGGGCGAGAAGCAGUGCUGAGUUCAGCACCUCUGUGAGGUGAGGGCACAGGGGACAGGAGGACAUGUGCUGGUGAAAGGCUGUCCUUCCUGGGUGCCUCCUCCGACAGGCUGAGCUUCCUAACCAGAGCACACGCUCAGCACCAAGCUCUGUGAGUCCUUACACCUCUCCCCACCGAAUGCUUUCCAGAGCUGGUUUCCUUUUGUUUUUGCUCAUGUUCUCCAUUCUUGCUUCUCGGUGCAGGGCUUAAUGAUUAUAUCUGAACGCUGCAGGGACAAUGUAACAUUUACACAGUGUUUCUUCAUUUGAUUCCUCUAACAGUCUUACUGGGUGGAUGUGACUGUCUGAGGAGACAGAAGCUCAGGGAAGCAGUGUCUUGUGCAAGCAUGGACAGGUGAGAAACAGCAGAGCAAUUCCCAGGUCUGUGGAGGUCCUUUGAGAAGGGGCUAUGCUAUCCAGAUACACUGUCUGACUCUUGGAUCUUGAGGUUCCAAGAGCCCAGAUGCUGAGUUGGAGGCCUGAACCAGGUAUCCACUGCCACUGUAAGGCCUUGUGAUAACCAGUCACAAACCCUCCAUGCCACACUGAGGAAGCCACUCAGUCAGCCCCCUAUCUGCAAGUCCAGAUGCUCUGGGCCCUGCUGAGCUUGCUCCUGGGCCAUGGCCAGCUGCCUCCUCUCCUCGGCUCUGCUGACCUGGCCAGGGCACAGGUGCCCGGGCAGGAUGGCUUCCAGCUGGGCCCUGUCUUCCUUCUCACGGGGCAGCUGUGCUUCAGGGCGACGGCACAACAAGCAGGAACAUGCCAGUGCUUUUUCAGGUCUCUGCUUGCAUCUGUCUUUGCCAACAGUGCUUUGGCCAGGUUCCUGGCGAACCUUGAUCUUUAGAGAAAUUGGAAAGUCACAUGGCAAAGGGCAGGGAAGGAGAGGGGAUCGCCCUGCCUCCAAGUGGAGCUUUCACCCCCGUGGAAACUGUCGUGUUUCUCCCGAUUCCCCACUGCAUUGAAACAGUUAGAAAGAAUGCUGUUCUGCUUCGGUGGAUCCCUGUGCAUGGCUUCUCCCCGUCAGUCACAGCGAUGCCGCCCGAGCCGCUCCCUGGCAAGCUGUCCACCCUCCCUGUGCCCUGGCCACACUGGCGUGGCCUUCUGUGUCCAGGGGAUUGAACUUGGGUCCAUGCACUUGUAAGGCAGGCGCCAGAACCACUGAGCUAAAUUCCCGGCCCCAGAGCACUCUUCUUGUUUGAUAGUGGGGAUCUGUUUCCCCCACUGACAAGUCUAAGACAAGGACCUCAUCUGCUCCCACCGUGUCCCUGUGCCCAGCACAGCACAGAAUUGAAGGUCCUGCAUCCUCAGAGACGCCCCACAUCCGUGGAACGUCCAGGUGCUUGGCUUGUCAGAGAGAGCACUUUGACGGGAAUAAGACUACAGGUGUCUUCCCUCUUGCAUGGUGAGGGGCUGAGGAGCAGGACCAGGAGCCAUCCCAAGCUGUCACAUGCCACCGGACAUAAGGAAAGUAGGAGGAAGAGAAAGCAUUAUGAUAUCUUCCAAUUCCUUAUUUAAAAUAGAAGAUACAUAUUAGUCUGCAGCCCAGAGCUGAGGGUGCACCUGAGCCUAGAAGGAGCCUGCCCAGGUGAGCUGAUGCAGCUGUUGACCGGCCUCUGGGGUCUCACCCACCCUGGGGUCUGGGGACUGUCUCACUCCAGAACAGGCACGAGGGCGGCAGGGGUGACUGACCCAGUGGGGUGCUAGUAAGAGAAGUGAGUGAUGACGUAUUGCAGGGAUCAGCAAGCAAUGAGCACAGGCCAGCUCAGCCCCAUCCCGUUUUUGUAAAUAAAGUUUUAUUGGAACAC
Long non-coding RNA from Heterocephalus glaber (naked mole-rat), 2095 nucleotides. The record is from Ensembl. Lineage: Eukaryota; Metazoa; Chordata; Mammalia; Rodentia; Bathyergidae.